GCCCUGGUGGUCUAAUGUUUAAGAUUUGGCACUCUCACUGCUGUGGCCUGGGUUUGUUUCCCAGUCAGGGAA
Molecule: non-coding RNA, 72 nt
Organism: Equus caballus (horse)
Lineage: Eukaryota; Metazoa; Chordata; Mammalia; Perissodactyla; Equidae
Source: Rfam